Molecule: long non-coding RNA, 329 nt
Organism: Anneissia japonica
Lineage: Eukaryota; Metazoa; Echinodermata; Crinoidea; Comatulida; Comatulidae
Exons: 2
Source: RefSeq, a predicted model, not a curated record
UUUAUGCUCUCAUUUACAUUACAGAUGGAUCCUAUGGUUCAGACUCAGAUGAGAUAUUCAGUGACCUGUUUUGCAUUGCUUGUAACAAAGAAUUUAAAAGUGACAAAGCAUUUGAAAAUCAUGAAAAAUCAAAGAAACACAAAGAGAAUGUUAUUUUUCUGAAGCUGCAGAUGGAAAAUGAUGAAUUAGAGUUCAUUGGGGAUGAGGCAGAAGAGGAUGUCGUGGAUGGAGAUGAAGUACAAGAAAAUGAAUCUGUGCCUGAAAGUACACAUAAUGAAACACAGCCAACAGAUGAUGUGGAGCAUGUUGUGCAAUUAAAACCCAAGUUA